Molecule: small nuclear RNA, 161 nt
Filed under: Suricata suricatta (meerkat)
Lineage: Eukaryota; Metazoa; Chordata; Mammalia; Carnivora; Herpestidae
Description: U4 spliceosomal RNA (ENSSSUG00005016819.1)
Rfam family: U4 spliceosomal RNA (bases 1-120)
About the family: U4 small nuclear RNA (U4 snRNA) is a component of the major U2-dependent spliceosome. The structure of U4 snRNA from yeast and human has been reported.
Source: RNAcentral
AACUUUGCGCAGUGGCAGUAUCGUAGCCAAUGAGGUUUAUCCGAGGCGCGAUUAUUGCUAAUUGAAAACUUUUCCCAAUACAACUUACUGGAAAUAUGUACAAAACUCCUCACACACAUACACACAAACACACGCGCGCACACACACACACACACUGGAGU